CAAGUCGAACGCGAAAGUCCCGCAAGGGAUCAGUAGAGUGGCAAACGGGUGAGUAACGCGUGGGUGACCUGCCUUCGAGUGGGGGAUAACGUCCCGAAAGGGUCGCUAAUACCGCAUGACAUCCUGCCUUUGAAGAGGCGGAGAUCAAAGCCGGGGACCGCAAGGCCUGGCGCUUGAAGAGGGGCCCGCGUCCGAUUAGCUAGUUGGUGGGGUAACGGCUCACCAAGGCAACGAUCGGUAGCCGGCCUGAGAGGGCGGACGGCACACUGGGACUGAGACACGGCCCAGACUCCUACGGGAGGCAGCAGUAGGGAAUUGUUCGCAAUGGGCGCAAGCCUGACGACGCAACGCCGCGUGGAGGAUGAAGAUCUUCGGGUCGUAAACUCCUUUCGAUUGGGACGAACUCCUUGGGGGUUAACAGCCUCUGAGGUUGACGGUACCGAGAGAAGAAGCCCCGGCUAACUCCGUGCCAGCAGCCGCGGUAAUACGGGGGGGGCAAGCGUUGUUCGGAAUUACUGGGCGUAAAGGGCUCGUAGGCGGCCAACUAAGUCGGACGUGAAAUCCCUCGGCUUAACCGGGGAACUGCGUCCGAUACUGGAUGGCUUGAGUUUGGGAGAGGGAUGCGGAAUUCCAGGUGUAGCGGUGAAAUGCGUAGAUAUCUGGAGGAACACCGGUGGCGAAGGCGGCAUCCUGGACCAACACUGACGCUGAGGAGCGAAAGCCAGGGGAGCAAACGGGAUUAGAUACCCCGGUAGUCCUGGCCCUAAACGAUGAAUGCUUGGUGUGGCGGGUAUCGAUCCCUGCCGUGCCGAAGCUAACGCAUUAAGCAUUCCGCCUGGGGAGUAC
This 846-nucleotide ribosomal RNA is filed under the name uncultured Acidobacteriota bacterium. RNAcentral's name for it is "bacterial SSU rRNA". It matches the Rfam family "Bacterial small subunit ribosomal RNA", at positions 58 to 883 of the family's 1533-position model. Lineage: Bacteria; Pseudomonadati; Acidobacteriota. The record is from RNAcentral.